ACGGAAGGCAGCAGUGGGGAAUAUUGCACAAUGGGGGAAACCCUGAUGCAGCGAUGCCGCGUGGAGGAGGAAGGUUUUCGGAUUGUAAACUCCUGUCUUAAAGGACGAUAAUGACGGUACUUUAGGAGGAAGCUCCGGCUAACUACGUGCCAGCAGCCGCGGUAAUACGUAGGGAGCGAGCGUUGUCCGGAAUUACUGGGUGUAAAGGGAGCGUAGGCGGGACUGCAAGUCAGAUGUGAAAUGCCGGGGCUUAACCCCGGAGCUGCAUUUGAAACUGUGGUUCUUGAGUGAAGUAGAGGCAAGCGGAAUUCCUGGUGUAGCGGUGAAAUGCGUAGAUAUUAGGAGGAACACCAGUGGCGAAGGCGAUCUACUGGACGAUAACUGACGCUGAGGCGCGAAAGCGUGGGGAGCAAACAGGAUUAGAUACCCUGGUA
This 434-nucleotide ribosomal RNA is filed under the name uncultured Ruminococcus sp. Its description in RNAcentral is "bacterial SSU rRNA". It matches the Rfam family "Bacterial small subunit ribosomal RNA", at positions 341 to 792 of the family's 1533-position model. Lineage: Bacteria; Bacillati; Bacillota; Clostridia; Eubacteriales; Oscillospiraceae. The record is from RNAcentral.